GCGGGGGUCCUGGGAAGAGUUCUCUUUUCUUCUUAACGGCCUAUCACCCUGAAAUCGGUUUGUCCGGAGCUAGGGUUCCACGGCCGGCAGAGCCCUGCACCUCGGCAGGGUCCGGUGCGCCCCCGACGAUCCUUGAAAAUCCACCGGAAGGAAUAGUUUUCACGCCAGGUCGUACUCAUAACCGCAGCAGGUCUCCAAGGUGAACAGCCUCUAGUUGAUAGAACAAUGUAGAUAAGGGAAGCCGG
This 245-nucleotide ribosomal RNA is filed under the name Pelagococcus subviridis. Its description in RNAcentral is "partial Eukaryotic large subunit ribosomal RNA". It matches the Rfam family "Eukaryotic large subunit ribosomal RNA", at positions 1671 to 1917 of the family's 3401-position model. The record is from RNAcentral. Lineage: Eukaryota; Pelagophyceae; Pelagomonadales; Pelagomonadaceae.